CCAAAGGCUAUUUUAAGAGCCAUCCAAUUUGCAAUAAGAGUAUUCU
This is a non-coding RNA of Salmo salar (Atlantic salmon), 46 nucleotides long. Lineage: Eukaryota; Metazoa; Chordata; Actinopteri; Salmoniformes; Salmonidae. The record is from Rfam.